UGGAAAGGGAUCCAGGUGGCAUCUAAAGUCGUCCUACCAGAGGAUGACUUUUUUUUGAAUAGUAUUUUGAUAUAUAAUUUUUAAAAAUAUUAUUUUGAUAAAUUAUUUUAAAAAUAAUACUAAAUGGGUAAAAAAUCUUCGGGGCUUCUAUUCACACAUGAUGAACAAAGCCCAUCAGAAUACCAACCGAGUUCUAAGACAUGUGGCGA
RNAcentral lists this long non-coding RNA (209 nucleotides) under Elaeis guineensis (African oil palm). RNAcentral's name for it is "long non-coding RNA (EGUI_LNC076422)". Lineage: Eukaryota; Viridiplantae; Streptophyta; Magnoliopsida; Arecales; Arecaceae. The record is from RNAcentral.